Molecule: ribosomal RNA, 745 nt
Filed under: Chlorosplenium chlora
Lineage: Eukaryota; Fungi; Ascomycota; Leotiomycetes; Helotiales; Chlorospleniaceae
Description: partial large subunit ribosomal RNA
Rfam family: Eukaryotic large subunit ribosomal RNA
Source: RNAcentral
ACAGGGAUUGCCUCAGUAACGGCGAGUGAAGCGGCAACAGCUCAAAUUUGAAAGCUGCAGGCCGCGUUGUAAUUUGUAGAAGAUGCUUUGGGUGUUGUCCUUGGAACAGGACGUCAUAGAGGGUGAGAAUCCCGUAUGUGACUGGUGCCCUCCCCCGUGUAAAGCUCUUUCGACGAGUCGAGUUGUUUGGGAAUGCAGCUCAAAAUGGGUGGUAAAUUUCAUCUAAAGCUAAAUAUUGGCCAGAGACCGAUAGCGCACAAGUAGAGUGAUCGAAAGAUGAAAAGCACUUUGGAAAGAGAGUUAAACAGUACGUGAAAUUGUUGAAAGGGAAGCGCUUGCAACCAGACUUGCGCGCUAUCGAUCAUCCGGUGCACUCGAUGGUGCAGGCCAGCAUCGGUUGGUGGUGGGAUAAAGGAAUGUGGCUCUUCCCCACGGUGCAAUGCUACCACCGGGACCGAGGACCGCGCUUCGGUUGUAAGCGACCCGUCUUGAAACACGGACCAAGGAGUCUAACAUCUAUGCGAGUGUUUGGGUGUAAACCCAUCCGCGUAAUGAAAGUGAACGGAGGUGAGGUGCAUCAUCGACCGAUCCUGAUGUCUUCGGAUGGAUUUGAGUAAGAGCAUAGCUGUUGGGACCCGAAAGAUGGUGAACUAUGCGUGAAUAGGGUGAAGCCAGAGGAAACUCUGGUGGAGGCUCGGUUCUGACGUGCAAAUCGAUCGUCAAAUUUGGGGCGAAAGACUAAUCG